GUGCUCUCUUUGGCAGCACAUACACUAAAAUUGGAACAAUACAGAGAAGAUUAGCAUGGCCUCUGUGUAAGGAUGACAUGCAAAUUUGUGAAGCAUUCUGUAUUUUU
Molecule: small nuclear RNA, 107 nt
Filed under: Nannospalax galili (Upper Galilee mountains blind mole rat)
Lineage: Eukaryota; Metazoa; Chordata; Mammalia; Rodentia; Spalacidae
Source: RNAcentral